AGAGUUUGAUCCUGGCUCAGAACGAACGCUGGCGGCGUGGAUAAGACAUGCAAGUCGAGCGCUGAUUUCAAGGUAGCAAUAUUUUGAAGUCGGAGCGGCGCAAGGGUGCGUAACACGUGGGUAAUCUGCCAUGAAGUUUGGGAUAACUCGCUGAAAGGCGAGCUAAUACCGGAUGUGAAAAUUGGAAGGCAUCUUUUGAUUUUCAAAGCUGGGGACCGUAAGGCCUGGCGCUUCUUGAUGAGCCCGCGGCCUAUCAGCUAGUUGGUGAGGUAACGGCUCACCAAGGCUAAGACGGGUAGCUGGUCUGAGAGGACGACCAGCCACACUGGAACUGAGACACGGUCCAGACACCUACGGGUGGCAGCAGUCGAGAAUUUUUCACAAUGGGCGCAAGCCUGAUGGAGCGACGCCGCGUGGGGGAUGAAUGGCUUCGGCCCGUAAACCCCUGUCAUUUGCGAUCAAACCUUAUUAUUUAAAAGAUGAUAAGCUGAUAGUAGCGAAAGAGGAAGGGACGGCUAACUCUGUGCCAGCAGCCGCGGUAAUACAGAGGUCCCGAGCGUUGUUCGGAUUCACUGGGCGUAAAGGGUGCGUAGGUGGUGAGGUAAGUCGGAUGUGAAAUCUCGGAGCUUAACUCCGAAACUGCAUUGGAAACUACCUUGCUCGAGGGUUGGAGGGGGGACUGGAAUUCUCGGUGUAGCAGUGAAAUGCGUAGAUAUCGAGAGGAACACCAGUGGCGAAGGCGAGUCCCUGGACAACUCCUGACACUGAGGCACGAAAGCUAGGGGAGCAAACAGGAUUAGAUACCCCGGUAGUCC
This 815-nucleotide ribosomal RNA is filed under the name uncultured bacterium. RNAcentral describes it as "bacterial SSU rRNA". It matches the Rfam family "Bacterial small subunit ribosomal RNA", at positions 8 to 796 of the family's 1533-position model. The record is from RNAcentral.